CGGACGGGUGAGUAAUGUCUGGGGAACUGCCCGAUGGAGGGGGAUAACUACUGGAAACGGUAGCUAAUACCGCAUAACGUCGCAAGACCAAAGAGGGGGACCUUCGGGCCUCUUGCCAUCGGAUGUGCCCAGAUGGGAUUAGCUAGUAGGUGGGGUAACGGCUCACCUAGGCGACGAUCCCUAGCUGGUCUGAGAGGAUGAUCAGCCACACUGGGACUGAGACACGGCCCAG
Molecule: ribosomal RNA, 232 nt
Filed under: uncultured bacterium
Lineage: Bacteria
Description: partial 16S ribosomal RNA
Rfam family: Bacterial small subunit ribosomal RNA
Source: RNAcentral